AGAGUUUGAUCCUGGCUCAGGAUGAACGCUGGCGGCGUGCUUAACACAUGCAAGUCGAACGGGAAACCUUUUAUUGAAGCUUCGGCAGAUUUAACUGGUUUCUAGUGGCGGACGGGUGAGUAACGCGUGGGUAACCUGCCUUGUACAGGGGGAUAACAGUCAGAAAUGACUGCUAAUACCGCAUAAGCGCACAGGACCGCAUGGUCCGGUGUGAAAAACUCCGGUGGUAUAAGAUGGACCCGCGUUGGAUUAGCUUGUUGGUGGGGUAACGGCCCACCAAGGCGACGAUCCAUAGCCGGCCUGAGAGGGUGAACGGCCACAUUGGGACCGAGACACGGUCCAAACUCCUACGGGAGGCAGCAGUGAGGAAUAUUGGUCAAUGGACGGAAGUCUGAACCAGCCAAGUAGCGUGCAGGAUGACGGCCCUAUGGGUUGUAAACUGCUUUUAUGUGGGAAUAAAGUGAGGGACGUGUCCCUUUUUGUAGGUACCACAUGAAUAAGGACCGGCUAAUUCCGUGCCAGCAGCCGCGGUAAUACGGAAGGUCCGGGCGUUAUCCGGAUUUAUUGGGUUUAAAGGGAGCGUAGGCCGUCUUUUAAGCGUGUUGUGAAAUACUGUCGCUCAACGACAGAGGUGCAGCGCGAACUGGGAGACUUGAGUGCGCGGAAUGCAGGCGGAAUUCGUCGUGUAGCGGUGAAAUGCUUAGAUAUGACGAAGAACUCCGAUUGCGAAGGCAGCUUGCAGUAGCGUAACUGACGCUGAAGCUCGAAAGUGCGGGUAUCGAACAGGAUUAGAUACCCUGGUAGUCCGCACGGUAAACGAUGGAUGCUCGCUGUGUGCCCCUGGGUACGCGGCCAAGCGAAAGCGUUAAGCAUCCCACCUGGGGAGUACGCCGGCAACGGUGAAACUCAAAGGAAUUGACGGGGGCCCGCACAAGCGGAGGAACAUGUGGUUUAAUUCGAUGAUACGCGAGGAACCUUACCCGGGCUUGAAUUGCAGGAGAACGAUACAGAGAUGUUGAGGUCCUUCGGGACUCCUGUGAAGGCGCUGCAUGGUUGUCGUCAGCUCGUGCCGUGAGGUGUCGGCUUAAGUGCCAUAACGAGCGCAACCCCUCUCCGUAGUUGCCAUCAGGUGAUGCUGGGCACUCUGCGGACACUGCCGCCGUAAGGUGUGAGGAAGGUGGGGAUGACGUCAAAUCAGCACGGCCCUUACGUCCGGGGCUACACACGUGUUACAAUGGGUCAUACAGAGUGUUGUGCGUAUGCAAAUACGUUCUAAUCAUUAAAAUGAUCCUCAGUUCGGAUUGGGGUCUGCAACCCGACCCCAUGAAGCUGGAUUCGCUAGUAAUCGCGCAUCAGCCAUGGCGCGGUGAAUACGUUCCCGGGCCUUGUACACACCGCCCGUCAAGCCAUGAAAGCCGGGGGCGCCUGAAGUCCGUAACCGCAAGGAUCGGCCUAGGGUGAAACCGGU
This 1468-nucleotide ribosomal RNA is filed under the name metagenome. Its description in RNAcentral is "bacterial SSU rRNA". It matches the Rfam family "Bacterial small subunit ribosomal RNA". The record is from RNAcentral.